UUGCCCUAGUAACGGCGAGUGAAGCGGCAACAGCUCAAAUUUGAAAUCUGGCGCAAGCCCGAGUUGUAAUUUGUAGAGGAUGCUUCUGGGCAGCGGCUAGUCUAAGUCCUUUGGAACAGGGCGUCACAGAGGGUGAGAAUCCCGUAUGUGAUUAGCAUGCACCCGUCACGUAGCUCCUUCGACGAGUCGAGUUGUUUGGGAAUGCAGCUCUAAAUGGGAGGUAAAUUCCUUCUAAAGCUAAAUACCGGCCAGAGACCGAUAGCGCACAAGUAGAGUGAUCGAAAGAUGAAAAGCACUUUGAAAAGAGAGUUAAAAAGCACGUGAAAUUGUUGAAAGGGAAGCGCAUACAACCAGACUUGCCGGCGGUGUUCCGCCGGUCUUUUGACCGGUCUACUCGCCGCCGGCAGGCCAGCAUCGUUUGGGCGCGCCAGAUAAAGGUUUGGGGCGGUGGUUCGCCGUUGCCCCUUACACAAUACGGCGCCGCCCGAGCGAGGUCCGCGCUCCGGCAAGGAUGCUGGCGUAAUGGUUGCCUGCGGCCCGUCUUGAAACACGGACCAAGGAGUCUAACAUCUAUGCGAGUGUUCGGGUGUCAAACCCCUACGCGUAAUGAAAGUGAACGGAGGUGGGAACGCAAGUGCACCAUCGACCGAUCCUGAUGUCUUCGGAUGGAUUUGAGUAAGAGCAUAGCUGUUGGGACCCGAAAGAUGGUGAACUAUGCCUGAAUAGGGUGAAGCCAGAGGAAACUCUGGUGGAGGCUCGCAGCGGUUCUGACGUGCAAAUCGAUCGUCAAAUUUGGGUAUAGGGGCGAAAGACUAAUCGAACCAUUGAACAAGAACACCUACUAGGUGGUUGAGAGGCCGCAGGGCCUAUUUGAAUACAUCGCCAAACUGCGGAGACACUUCACGAAGCCAGACCUACCGCCGGGCACGUCGAAAGGCGCGCCC
Molecule: ribosomal RNA, 944 nt
Filed under: Baudoinia compniacensis (whiskey fungus)
Lineage: Eukaryota; Fungi; Ascomycota; Dothideomycetes; Mycosphaerellales; Teratosphaeriaceae
Description: LSU rRNA
Rfam family: Eukaryotic large subunit ribosomal RNA
Source: RNAcentral